CUGCAGAUCCAAUGAUGGAGGUUUGAGCUGAUUUCAGAACAGAGUGUCCAGUGUGUUUGUGAGGAAGAUGCAGUGGCUGUCAUUAUGCAGUCCUCACCAUUAGUAUGUAGAGGCCACUUUCAAAAUUUUGACCAGCCAAUCUCCUUCUUCUGUGUAGCAGCACUGUGAUAACAGCUCUGAGUCUUCUCCUAUAAUGCCUGAUGAGGUUGGAGAAUACAUGACAAGGGAACUGAGACCAUUCCUCCAUACAGAAUCUCUCCAGAUCCUUCAAAUUUCGAGGUCCACACUGGUGACUCUCCUCUUCAGUUCACCACACAGGUUAUCUAUGGGUUUCAAGUCAUGGGACUGAGAUGGCCAUGGCAGGACCUUGAUUUUGUGAUUUCAUUUUGUCGGCUUCUCCACCUGCAUGAUGCUUUACACUGUAGCUGUGUGAAAAAAAGAAGAAGAGGGGGAACACCAAGUACUGAAAAAUAAAGUAACCACUUCAUCCUGGUCUGGGGAACAGUGGAUCUGGAGCCUGGGUGUUAGUUGGGAAUACACCUCGGAGAAUACACAGAGCAAGCCCAUGAGAUCAAACGCUGAAACUCCACACAGUUACCCAUGCUCAGGAUUAAACCAGGGAGCUGAAGUGGUGAGGUGGCAAUGCUACCUUAUAUGUGCCACCAUUCUGCCCACCUAGAAAGUGUGUGCGUAUUAUUUGUCUGUGCUCAUGAACCUCCAGGAAAUUAAUAUAUUUCCCUAUAAUUCAUAAAUAUAUUUUAUGAAUAAAAAUAAAAACAAAGUUUAUAAUAACAUAAUCCCAUCCAUCCAUCUUCUAUACCGCUUAUGUCACGAUUCCCCCUUGAAGCAGUGUGCUUUAAGCGCUGUCGACCGUAGUGACAUUGGGACACGUGUGUUUUGUUUAUGUUUGUCAUGUCUCCUCCCUGUUCCGUCAUUGGCUGGGAAGUCACGUGUGUCCGGAUUACCCUCAGCUGUUAGCAGUUGCGAGGGUAAUCAUGUCCGCAUAUAUACCGCGCGCUUCCCAGCACACAACGCGGAAGAUUAAGUAGUAAGUAAUAAGAAGUGAAUGUUUAGCGUUAUCAUAGUCAUAGUCAUAGUCAUAGUCAUAGUCAUAGUCAUAGUCAGUUCGCGCUGGAUAUCCGCUUCCAGUUCAUCGUCAUAGUUUGUUUCUUGUUUUGGUUAUCGACCUAGAUUCCUGCCUAGCCCCGUG
Long non-coding RNA from Ictalurus punctatus (channel catfish), 1210 nucleotides. Lineage: Eukaryota; Metazoa; Chordata; Actinopteri; Siluriformes; Ictaluridae. The record is from Ensembl.